GACGAACGCUGGCGGCGUGCUUAACACAUGCAAGUCGAACGGAAAGGCCCUGCUUUUGUGGGGUGCUCGAGUGGCGAACGGGUGAGUAACACGUGAGUAACCUGCCCUUGACUUUGGGAUAACUUCCGGAAACUGGGGCUAAUACCGGAUAGGAGCUCCUGCUGCAUGGUGGGGGUUGGAAAGUUUCGGCGGUUGGGGAUGGACUCGCGGCUUAUCAGCUUGUUGGUGGGGUAGUGGCUUACCAAGGCUUUGACGGGUAGCCGGCCUGGGAGGGUGACCGGCCACAUUGGGACUGAGAUACGGCCCAGACUCCUACGGGAGGCAGCAGUGGGGAAUAUUGCACAAUGGGCGGAAGCCUGAGGCAGCAACGCCGCAUGCGGGAUGACGGCCUUCGGGUUGUAAACCGCUUUCGCCUGUGACGAAGCGUGAGUGACGGUAAUGGGUAAAGAAGCACCGGCUAACUACGUG
Molecule: ribosomal RNA, 468 nt
Filed under: uncultured bacterium
Lineage: Bacteria
Description: partial 16S ribosomal RNA
Rfam family: Bacterial small subunit ribosomal RNA
Source: RNAcentral